This 75-nucleotide transfer RNA is filed under the name uncultured Thermomicrobiales bacterium. RNAcentral describes it as "tRNA-Lys-CTT". It matches the Rfam family "tRNA". Rfam says of the family: Transfer RNA (tRNA) molecules are approximately 80 nucleotides in length. Their secondary structure includes four short double-helical elements and three loops (D, anti-codon, and T loops). The record is from RNAcentral. Lineage: Bacteria; Pseudomonadati; Thermomicrobiota; Thermomicrobia; Thermomicrobiales.
GGGCCGCUAGCUCAACGGCAGAGCAACUGACUCUUAAUCAGCAGGUUGAAGGUUCGAAUCCUUCGCGGCCCACCU